This 240-nucleotide unclassified non-coding RNA is filed under the name soil metagenome. RNAcentral's name for it is "partial contains 5.8S ribosomal RNA, internal transcribed spacer 2, and large subunit ribosomal RNA". The record is from RNAcentral.
AACCAUAGAAACCUGCGGAGUACCUGCGGAGGGAUCAUUACAGAGUUGCAAAACUCCCACAAACCAUCGCGAAUCUUACCCGUACGGUUGCCUCGGCGCUGGCGGUCCGGAAGGCCCUCGGGCCCCCGGACCCUCGGGUCCCCCGCUCGCGGGGGGCUGCCCGCCGGAGUGCCGAAACCAAACCCUUGAUAUUUUAUGUCUCUCUGAGUAAACUUUUAAAUAAGUCAAAACUUUUAACAA